UGCACCGGCGACGACUGCAGUAGAGGUGAGUGUGUUUGGUUCAAGUUUGGCUUAGAUUUCGUGCUCAGAUUCUGAUGUGGUUUGAGUUUUGGUUCGGGUUAGGUUUGGGUUCACUUCAGAUUUUGUCGGGUUUUCGGCUCGGUUUCGGGUCUCGGUCAAAGUUGGUCAGCCGCGGUUCGGGUGUGGUUCGACGGGUCAGAUUGAAUUUUCCUUUCAGCUUUAUGACCUCAAGCAGCAAGGUUUCAUAGAGAGGCAAGAGGUGAAAUUUUUUUAGUAGACGAAAACACUGCGUUUUAGCGAUUUUUAUUACAAGAACCUGGAAUUUGGUUAAUGUUUAACAUCUAAAAUACUCUUCUCUGGAAUUUGAUUAGAAAUUUGUUAUGUUUUGA
Molecule: long non-coding RNA, 389 nt
Organism: Helianthus annuus (common sunflower)
Lineage: Eukaryota; Viridiplantae; Streptophyta; Magnoliopsida; Asterales; Asteraceae
Exons: 2
Source: RefSeq, a predicted model, not a curated record